UUGAACACUUCAAAUGAGUUGACAUAGACAUUGCGCGCUACGUAGUUGCUCUAGACGUUCGGGAGCGCGCCUGCGCGGACGAAUCCGCGGUUCGCGAAAACAGGCUCCGCCGUGCUCCUGCUCGCCGGAUCGUCGGGGGCUUGCAGCGACCGCCGUUGCUAUCGCGGCGUCGGAGUUUUGGCGAUAAUGUCUCCUCGGUGCACGGAAAAAGCGGCCGCUGCGAGUGCGGGAUGCAUCAACACCUUUAACGACCACUCGUGAACGAGGCAAGGCCGCCUAUGGUCGGCUAUUGGCGGCUACCAUGAAAGUCGCUUCGAACGCGGCGCCGCGUUUGGUUGCACCUAGGCUUAUCUGAUGGCACGUGCAACGUUGUGAAACUUGGUAUAAUCUAGGCUGCAUCUAGUAGAUCGGUUAUCACUUUGGAGGCUUAGCCAAAGAUCCGUGCAAAUUGAGCGUCGUAUCCAUCCCGUCUUAAGAUACCGUGUACCACCUCUUUGAGAUUCUGGAAUUUGCGCUCUGCGGGGUGUGAGAGCAAGCAGUGUAUAAUUACAAACUGUGUUAGUCGGCGUCAUUAAUCCAGGGAGGAAAAUUCGACAGUAAGACUCAAGAAUGCCGGAACAAUUUAUGUCUGCCAUACGCUCGAGAUGUAGGUAAAUUCCUCGGCGGGUUAUCACUCACGCGGCUUUCCUAUUUCCUCCACAGUGACUUUAACGGAGCAGACGUGAGUACAAAGAAUUCUCAGUUUGAAGUGGUUCUAUUUUAUUAAAUGUUAAUUAACAAUUGUAAAUGUAUGUGCUUGAGUAUUUUAUUUUUUUAACUGUUUUUCUUCAUACAUACUGAACAAACUGAUUUAAUAUUAUUAAUACGUUGAAAUAUAUUUGCACACGCGCGAUCCAAUCUCGAUAGAUCGUUUCGGUACGAUUCAUAUACCAGAAUGCUAAUCCUAUGAUUAAUGAUUGCUGUCGCGUAAUUGGCGAAAGCGUCGAGUACCUUUAAUACAACGCUAAGGUGCACUUGACACAGUGGAACGUCAAACAGAUGGAUUCGCAACCAGAUAGCGAAUUGCAACAGACGUCAGAUGAGCGUUGCGUUACAUAUGUGCAACAAUGAAGGUAUACCAUGUUAUUAUCUCGAUGACGAGCAACAUUUCGGCCAUUUGCCGCGGCAGAAGCGUAAUGUUCUUGGCAACAUGGUGCGAUACAAUGUUGUGGCACUUUGAUUGGUAGCUCUAACAUGCACCAGUAAGUGUGCAUAUGUAUACUGAUGACUUGUACCUGACGUGUUCCCUAUUGCGCUAUUGGCAUCCGUUUGGCCUAAAACGUAACUCGCAACAAUCAAACAAGAGAUAGCAGUGAAUAAAUUAAAAUUAUGAAAUACGAAAAA
Molecule: long non-coding RNA, 1383 nt
Organism: Ooceraea biroi (clonal raider ant)
Lineage: Eukaryota; Metazoa; Arthropoda; Insecta; Hymenoptera; Formicidae
Source: RefSeq, a predicted model, not a curated record